Molecule: non-coding RNA, 73 nt
Organism: Trichuris muris
Lineage: Eukaryota; Metazoa; Nematoda; Enoplea; Trichinellida; Trichuridae
Source: Rfam
GCCCGGCUAUCUCAGUCAGGUGAGCAUGGGACUCUUAAUCCCAGGGUCGUGAGUUCGAGCCCCACAUCGGGCG